GGCCCUGGCAGGAAAGUCUCUUUGUUAAUCACCACUCUACAGCAUAUUUCAUUUCAAGUUUCUUACACUGAGGAUAGAGAUCUUUGGGAUUCCAUCAAUGCAGUAAAGGGUCAACUGCUGGAAGCUGAGGACUCCGUUUUGUAUCUCUAAUAGUACAGUGCCAAGCACACAGGGAGCACUCACUCAAUUCACACCAACAUAUGAAGUGAGAAAAAAUUUCUACACAUUCUAGGCAACCGUUCCAGCUGAGGUCAUCCUGGACCAACUGGUUCCCAGCUGACCUGGCAGCUGAGUACAGAUGCAUUGACUGAGUCCAGCCAAGGCCAGAACUACACAGCAGCUAUGCUUAGCCCAAAUUGCUGACCUGCAGAAUUCCUUGCUUAUUGCAGAGAGUGGCAAAUCCUUCUUUUUGCUGAAGUUGGACAUUCACUCACCCCGGAAUCAGGAUGAUGAUAAAGCUCCACCUGUUUGAAAACGUUUUUGCUUUUAUAUUCCUGUGACAUGCUCUAGGCCACGGGAUUGCAAAGAAUACUAAGCCAACAGUAAACUGAAAAUAAUGAAUGCAGCUCUACUCAUGGAAAACACAUUCACAAUACUAUUUUGGAGAAGAAUCUAUGAAACUGUGAGACUUUGUCUCACCCAAAGCUGCCUUCAGAGCUAAGCUGCCAGAGAGACUGGAGUCAAACUUGGAACUUUUCCAAAGACCCAAGUAAACAGAGAGGAAAUUUUGGAAGCUUGAAUCAGAGCCAGAAUAAACCAGGAUUUCUGUUUAGGAUGGAUAUUACAAAAGGAUCUGAAAAAAAUGAUUCAGGGAGAUACAUUUGGAUCUGGAACCAGGCAAAGUUGUUUGAAUUAAAAUUUUUAGAAUUAGAAAAUUAACUUGUAUCAAUAUUAAUCUAUAUGAGAGACUACUGAGGACAUACAGAAAGGGCAUUUGACUAAUAACACGUUUAUACUCCCUAGUAUCAAUACUAGGAUGAUGAU
Molecule: long non-coding RNA, 984 nt
Organism: Mustela erminea (ermine)
Lineage: Eukaryota; Metazoa; Chordata; Mammalia; Carnivora; Mustelidae
Exons: 6
Source: RefSeq, a predicted model, not a curated record